This 72-nucleotide transfer RNA is filed under the name Marmota marmota marmota (Alpine marmot). It matches the Rfam family "tRNA". Rfam says of the family: Transfer RNA (tRNA) molecules are approximately 80 nucleotides in length. Their secondary structure includes four short double-helical elements and three loops (D, anti-codon, and T loops). Further hydrogen bonds mediate the characteristic L-shaped molecular structure. tRNAs have two regions of fundamental functional importance: the anti-codon, which is responsible for specific mRNA codon recognition, and the 3' end, to which the tRNAs corresponding amino acid is attached (by aminoacyl-tRNA synthetases). tRNAs cope with the degeneracy of the genetic code in two manners: having more than one tRNA (with a specific anti-codon) for a particular amino acid; and 'wobble' base-pairing, i.e. permitting non-standard base-pairing at the 3rd anti-codon position. The record is from Rfam by way of RNAcentral. Lineage: Eukaryota; Metazoa; Chordata; Mammalia; Rodentia; Sciuridae. RNAcentral also lists the same sequence under 1 other name.
UGGGGUGUAAACCAAUGGUAGAGUACUUGCCUCAUGUGUGUGAGAUCCUGGGUUCCAUCCCCAGCACCAUAA